This 4911-nucleotide long non-coding RNA is filed under the name Medicago truncatula (barrel medic). RNAcentral's name for it is "long non-coding RNA (MTRU_LNC007036)". The record is from RNAcentral. Lineage: Eukaryota; Viridiplantae; Streptophyta; Magnoliopsida; Fabales; Fabaceae.
UUCCAUGACUACCAAAAAAAUUACAAACAACAACAAAAUAUAAAGAACUAGACAAAAUUGUCAAAAUUACACAAUAAUUAUGCAAAUUAAUGAGAUUCACUAUAAAAUCUAACUAUAAGAAAAGAUUGAACAUGAAUUUCACGUUUUGGGGGAUUUUGAAAUUUUAGGGUUAUCCAAUUUGAUAUCCAAUUUUAGGGUUAUCCAAUUAAUGAUAUAAAUCUAAAUUUGUGAUAAAUACAACUUACCCAGAGACAAAAUGACCCAAAUUGACGAAGAGAGAAGCUCCAACGGAGGGUAGAGGCAAGGAUAAGGUCCGACAAUGGAAGAGAUAAGAGGUUGAAGGUCCGGCAGAGGUGAAGAGAGGUUGUGAGAACAAUGGUUCGCCGAAGAUGAAGAGAGUUUCACUGGAGAAUAACGGAGGCCCGUCGGCCGGUGGCAGAGAUCAGAGGAGAAAAGAGGUUGAGUGGAGUGAAGAUCAAUGGGAGACGAAGAGGUUUAGCGUUCAAAGCAAUUUUGACAAAGUUAUUGGUUUUUUCUUUUUAGAGGACCCUUUUGUCUUUAUUGACUUUCUUUUUUGUUAAAUUUGAUUUUUUUGUCAUAGCGCCAAUAACAAAAGUUGCGCCUAAAACGAAAUUUUUUCAAUUUUUACAAUCCCCGCUACUUCAUUUCAGAAAAAAGAUGGUUUUAAGGCACGAUUUUUAAAAUGAAGUAGGGCACGGUUAGUAUUUGUGGCUCCGUCGUUGUUUAAAAGGGUAUAGGGCACGGAUUUUUUUUUUUUAGUCAUUCAGUCCACUAUAUACGUAAUUGGUAAGCCACGGUUCUAAAAUCCAUGGCUUGUUCCUGCUUUAAGUCACACUUUUGUAUCCGUGGAUAAGUCAAGUGUGGUCUAAACUCAAAAAUGUUGUAGUGCAUGAUAUCCUUUUUCGUUAAAAGCAUGAUUAUUAUUAUUAUAUAAAAUUACCGUCGGGAAUUAGGGUGUUACAUAGUUGGUAUCAGAGCAGGUCAGUCCAUCCGGCCAGGUUUUAUAAUUUUGUUAAUUCCCUACAGCGACAUGUGUGCAAACACUGUCAAUGGCUGAAUCCAUUUAAUAAGGUAUCUAACUGCUGAUGGGUAUAAAAGGAAAGUAGGAAGACAUUUUUCGAGCGAGGUCUGCUCACUACAGGAGUGUCAGGUAGAUGAAGGGUAAGAACCAGGAGUACGGUGAUGCCUUGUGGAGUUAUGGCAGAUAAGGAAGAGGAUGAGUGUCAACACGAAACAAGUGGGGGAGAUUAAAAGCUACAAUGAUAACCGUGGGAGUUAGUUUGGUGCUAGGUAUAAGUUGAAAGAUUAGGAGGAAAAAGUUGGGUAUUUGUGCUUUCCAAUUUAGGAGGAUAAUAUGGAUCGAGAAUUCUUAGUUUUUCCUUUUAAGCUUAGUCGCGAGUAAGUGAGUUAUAACAUAAUUAUGAAUGUGGUUUAGAUUAAUAUGAUUUGGGAAGAUAAUCCUUUGGUAGAAACAUGUUUCAGAUGGGUAUUUAUAAGAUGUUAAUGCGAAGGGUAUUUUUCGAGAAUGUAGAUUGUAUAUGAUUCAUUUACGGAUGAGUCACAUAAAGUUUUGAGCAGUUUGAAUUAUCAUAGGGAAGGAAUGAUGUGUGGAUGAUAUUACGUUAUAUUUAAGUUUUCAUGUGGAUCAUCGACAGCUGAGAUGAAGAUGUAGUAAGAAUAGACGCCUUAUCAGGAUUGAUGAUUUGAUGGAUAAGUUAAUUAGUGGGUGCAUAUGUGAUUAGUUAGAUAGAAUUGAGAUAGGGAUAUCAUCAUAUUCAAGUGAAGUUGGAGGAUGUACCCAAAACACUGCAUUUAUGACUCAUUUUGGCAAAUAUGAAUAUUCGGUGAUGUUAUUUGGAGUGUCUAACAUGCCAGGAAUAUUUAUGUAGUACAUGAACAACAUUUUCCAUCCGUAUUUAGCUUGUGUUGUUGUAGUAUAAAUGGAUGAUAUUUUUGUGUACUCUGAAUCGAAUGAGGAGCAUGCAGAACAUUUGCAGAUUGUGUUGUAGAAUUUAAAGGAGAAUGUGUGGUGUGCUAUGAUGUCGAAGUGUGAAUUUCGGUUACGAGAAGUAAGUUUCUUGGGACAUGUGAUUUCUAGUAAUGAGAUAGCAGUUAAUCCUUCUAAAGUGGAUAUAGUGUUUGCAACGGGAGGCUCCGAAGACGGUUACGAAAAUGAAAAAUAUUCUUAGGUUUAGGAGAGUAUCAUAAAAGGUUUAUUGAAGGAUUUUCAUAGAUAACAUUACAUUGUUGGCGAGGAACCGACAUACAUAUGUGUAGGAUAGGCAAUGCAAAGAAAAAUUCAAGAGCUUAAAAAGAAGUUGACAACGAUGCCGGUGUUAAUUUUGCCAAAGCCAAGUAGGUCGCUUGUAGUGUUUUGUGAUGCAUCUAAAAGAGGUUUGGAUGGUGUGCUUAUGCAAUAUGUUGGAGUUGUGGCUAAUGCUUCAAGACAAAUAAAAAUUCAUGAGAGAAUUUAUCUGGCACAAGAUUUAGAAUUGCAGUCGUGGUAAUUGUACUUAAGUGUGGAGGAAUUAUUUGUCUGGGUUGAGGUUUGAAGUGUUUAGUGACCAUAGUAGUUCACGAUAUCUGUUUAAUUAGAAAGUGUUGAAUAUGAGGCGAAGAAGAUGGUGUGGAUUAUUGAAGGAUUAUGAUUUUGAGCUGAGUUAUCUUCCAGGAAAGGCCAAUGUAGUAACAUAUGCCAUGAGUAAGAAGUCCUUACACAUGUCAACACAUAUGGUUAAGUAAAUAGAAUUAAUAAAUAAAUUUCAAGACAUAAGCUUAGUUUAUGAAGUGACGCCUGAUAUUGUGAAGUUAGGUAUGCUAAAGCUGACGAGUCAAGUGUUAGAAGAGAUAAAAGAAGGGCAGAAAACUGAUUUGGAGUUAGUUGACUAUGUAACACUAUUCAACCAUGGAGAGGAAGUGAAUUUCAAAAUAGACGAGAAUGAGAUUACGAAGUUUUGAGAUAGAGUUUGUGUGUCGAAUAUGCCGGAACUGUAACACCCCGUUUUCCCAAUAUACAAAUUUCUUAAAUCAUUUAUCAGAGUAAGCAUCAUAAACAACGGGAUAUCACAUAUAACAUAAUCCAAACAGUUAAAUAAUAAUUUAACCAAAUAUCUUAAUCAUUGCAGCGGAAAUUAUAUCAUAAUCCAUAAAACGUUUUGGCACGCAGGCCCCAUCAAAAUAAUCUCAAAAGAGUUAGUUCAAUAUAACAAAUAGCAUAUUAUUCACGUAAUAGAACGAAGCAUGCAUAACAUAUAGCCCCAUCCCGUUACGUAUCAGAGCGACCUANUAUUAUAAUAAAUAAUAAAAUAACACUACUUAAUAAAAUAACGACACACCACAUAAUCAUUUAAAUCACAUAAAUACUAAAAUAAGCUACUUAAUAAAUCACAUAAUCAUAUAAAUAUAUUCUAAACCUAUUUAAAUAAUCAAAUAAAUCAAAUAAUUCAAAGAGGGCGUUACACCACUUGCACUAAAUGCCCUAAAACUCAACCAAAAGAGUAACAGACACACACCAACAUCAGCAAAAAUGCAGGGCAGCAAGCAAAGGCACCCCUCAGCUCAUAAAAAACCUGUCCAGACCAACAGCAGCCCUCCCCCUUUACCUCCGCAAACACGCCUCCGGACACCACAGCCACUCAUAAAGCAUACAAACCUGUGUGUCUCUCGUUCCCAUCAACCACCGCCAAGAGAGGACUUGGAUUUCCUCAACUAGCUCCUCCACCCCUUUAACAACCACAUUAAACAUGUGAUCAUUCCGCGCUUUCCAAAUCACCCAAAUAGCAGCUUGCCAAAUCAUUCUCCUUACUAAUAAUUUAAUAGAAUAAUGAAAGACAACUACUACUAAAAUCUAUGCCGAGAAAAUGUCAUGUAGUGGAACAAUUUUUGGUGCACAAAGAGGUAAAUCUCAAUGACUAGUUUCAAAUUGUGGAGUUUUUCUUUUCACACAAAAAAAUUAAAAUAAAAAAAUCUACGGUGGGAGAAAAGACUAACACAGGAUAUUUUCAAACUUCUUCAUAUUAAAAAAUGGAAGAAGCUACACGUUGGCAUUUUAUUCAAGGUAGAUUAAAUAAUUCCCAGAGAUGGACAAAUCAAAUAUAUUACUAAAAAAGGAACCUUCCAUGACUACCAAAAAAAUUACAAACAACAACAAAAUAUAAAGAACUAGACAAAAUUGUCAAAAUUACACAAUAAUUAUGCAAAUUAAUGAGAUUCACUAUAAAAUCUAACUAUAAGAAAAGAUUGAACAUGAAUUUCACGUUUUGGGGGAUUUUGAAAUUUUAGGGUUAUCCAAUUUGAUAUCCAAUUUUAGGGUUAUCCAAUUAAUGAUAUAAAUCUAAAUUUGUGAUAAAUACAACUUACCCAGAGACAAAAUGACCCAAAUUGACGAAGAGAGAAGCUCCAACGGAGGGUAGAGGCAAGGAUAAGGUCCGACAAUGGAAGAGAUAAGAGGUUGAAGGUCCGGCAGAGGUGAAGAGAGGUUGUGAGAACAAUGGUUCGCCGAAGAUGAAGAGAGUUUCACUGGAGAAUAACGGAGGCCCGUCGGCCGGUGGCAGAGAUCAGAGGAGAAAAGAGGUUGAGUGGAGUGAAGAUCAAUGGGAGACGAAGAGGUUUAGCGUUCAAAGCAAUUUUGACAAAGUUAUUGGUUUUUUCUUUUUAGAGGACCCUUUUGUCUUUAUUGACUUUCUUUUUUGUUAAAUUUGAUUUUUUUGUCAUAGCGCCAAUAACAAAAGUUGCGCCUAAAACGAAAUUUUUUCAAUUUUUACAAUCCCCGCUACUUCAUUUCAGAAAAAAGAUGGUUUUAAGGCACGAUUUUUAAAAUGAAGUAGGGCACGGUUAGUAUUUGUGGCUCCGUCGUUGUUUAAAAGGGUAUAGGGCACGGAUUUUUUUUUU